CAUCCCGCACCCUGCUGCUGCACCGGGCAGAGUCCGGGCCAGAAAAGGAGGGACCACCCAAAACAAGGAGGAGCUGAAUGGAGGUGGGCGGGGCCCGCGAGAGCCACACACUCACACCCUCCCCGUCGCCUCUGCAAGGACCGUCGUUGUCCUUGGGUCCUGGGACCGUGUGUUGAAGCUCCUCCAAAGUCCCCACGAGGGGCCUGGCUGGCCAGGCGACUCUGCACUACCCCGGCCAGUUUAACCUAAGAAAGGCAGGGUGACCAUUUGGACCUACAAGUGAAGGCACCUCACAAAGGGAUUUACCCUGAGUCACCUGCUCCUGGAGGGUCACUAGGAGGACCCCCGCGGGGCUUUCUUUCCACAGUUUUGUCAGCACGACCCCCUUGAACUCCGGCGAGCCACAGAAUGAUACAGGACAGAGUCCUGGGUCCAGUCUCAGCCGCAUCCCUUGCGAGUGUGACUGUACUUCUGUCUCUUCACCCGUCCGCUUGGGGGCAUCACAGGUGGAGUCGGCCCACACCCGCCCCAGAGAACCGGCGGGGAGGGGCCAGGCCUGCGCCCAGCAGAUACUUAGAAACAGCUCCUUUCUGUAGAAAGAACGGAAGUGCCCGCCUUUCUCUCACUUCCUUUCUGGGGCCUGGGCGGGUUGGCCUGUGACUGGCCAGCUGUUAUUUUUGGGCGUCGGUUGCUCCGUGUGAAACCCCGGUCCCCCCAGAGAGGAAGGGGGGGCACCAGGUGACCUCGCCGUUGGUCUGGGGUGCAGCCGGCCCAGGUGCAGUGGUUACUGCCUCAGAGUGAAACCCACACUGGUCAGGCUGGUUCUGCGGCCAGGUUUCCUAGCAGAUAAGCACCGUGUGCGGUAUUUACAGACACUCAGAACGCAGAGGGGCUGCGGUCCGCUCCCCCGGUUUUGACAGGACGGAAACUGGGGCCCAGCACCUCAAGCGCCUGCUCUGAGGCCACACACGGAGCUUGGGACACCAACAGGACCAGAGUCCAGAGUCUGGACCCCUCCGAGGGGCGGCAGGCUUGCCUGUUUGGAGGAGGAACGUGCUGAGCUUUGAGGACCCUGAGCAUCUCCGCCCACCCCGUUGUUCCCAGGGUCCUGGGCCUCCUGGUGGGUGGGCAGGGCUGAGCCUCAGGGGGAGGCAGGGCCAUGAGACUGUGUGCCGUCUGGGGUCCCAGAGUCCGCGUCAGGGCAGACGGGGAGAGCCACCUCCGUCCCCCUCACGCCCAUUCAUGGUGGCCUUUAGCGGUCUUCCCUGCUGCGCCAUCUGGGCUGCUCUUUGGCGACCCCCGUGACCCGACUUCACCGCACUGAAAGCGGCUGUGUGGUGACCCCGCACCCCCACGCUUGUUGGGCUUGUGCCACAAGCCAGACGUGGUCAGGGCUGUCCUCACGGACAGGGUGAGGUGCCAAGAAAGCUUUGCAGGAGCCGACGGGUCCCCCUAGCAAGUAUCUGGGCACAGAGCUCUCCCGGCCCAGGGACUGCACAGCAAGGCCCUGACGUGCUUGAGGCCCAGAGAGGGAGCCCGUGUGUGGGGUCGUGCGGCUCCUAGAGGGAAGGGCCCGGGUGCAGGGACCUGGCCUCAGGCUCCCACUCCGAGGGCUCUGGCAGAGGACGACGAAGCAGUGACCUGGGCUACAGGUGGCACUCGGCCCGGGCGGGGAUCCCACGGACGAGGGCGCAGGCAGGAGAGAGGCCACCUGGCCCAGCCAGGUGAGGGGGGAAGUGGCUCGAAGCAGGCGGGGCAGGAGAAGGUGGGAGGUGGUGGUCUCAGAAUCACCGUGAAGGGGACCCCUGAACCUUCCAACAGAUGUGGGUGGGCCGUGGAGGGAAGCGGGGCGUCCGAGCCGCUCGGGGCCGGGUGCCCGUACCGCCCUCCCAGCCAGCCUCCCAGAGCCCCGCCAGGCUGCAAGUGAACGAGGCCGCCCACAGGCCUGGCGCUCUGCUCGGCGAGGGCUCGGACACGGUUCUGAGGGUGACGACACCAGAGUCACCGCUCACGAGAACCUCGGGCAAGUCUCCCAUCUCCACGUCCAUCUUCCUCGUGAGACAGGCAUUGAUGGGUCUCUCCUCUCCUCCCCAGAUCCCUCCCGAGGAGACAGGUGGCUACACAUCAGGGGCUGAAACACGAGGCGAGCAGGGCUGGGCCCGGGGGGCUGAGGGGCUGCCCUGGGGCCAUGGUGGCCGAGAGGGGGUUCCCUCCCGACGGCAGAGGCAGAGCUGAGGCGCAAGGAAGACAGAGCAUCAGGCGGGCGGAAGGAAGGAAGAGUGUUUCAGGCAAAAGGAACAGCAUGUGUGAGGGCCCUGAGCCAGCACAGGGGGUGGCAGCUGAGGAACGAAAAGGGGUUUACAGGCAGAGAAGUGCUGGCUGGUGGGCCAGUGGUGACACAGGUGUGCUUGUGACACAGGUGUGGGCGUGGUGGUGACACAGGUGUGGCAUGGUGGUGACACAGGUGUGGCCAUCUCUGCUUGUCAUCCCCAGCGUGGUUCCCAGCAAGGUCUCCCCAGCCCCCACCAACCCGGGCAGCAAGUGGCGUGGAGCGGCAGCCGGGAGGGGCCCUGGGCCGGGGUGGCAGGGACUCGGGGGGCAGGGCCCUGUGCCCUGCUUUGGGCCCAGCGGCACUCCACGUCACAUGCGGGGAUGGUGGUGCGGAGGCUGGCCCAUGAAGCCCCUUCCCCCAGAGUGGAGUCAGAGCCAUCCUGACCCCACAGGUGUUGUUUCUGGAAGAAGGAUCCAGGGCUUACCCUGCUGGGACGGGUGAGACCCACCCCUCGCACCACCACCCAAGCCCACCGGGCCUCGGAGGGCGUCCUGUGGGCUCUGAGGAGGGGGCGGGGGUCACUCUUGGGGAAGAGGUUGAGGCCUUCAUCUCACCCCAUCCUCGCUGCCCCACUCUACAGAUGAAGAAACUGAGGCUAGGGGAAGGGAGGCGUGAGCCCAAAGCGGGGCCUGGCCGGUGUGUCUGAUGCUGUCCUCGCUGGGUGAUGGGGCCACGGGCUUCGGCCUCCCCCGAGCUCGCGAUUUCACUCCCGGGUAAACCUUCCGGUAGAACAACGUUCACGGCAGCUGUCUCUAACGGCCCCAAACUGAACUUCCCAAGUGUCCAUCAGCCUGAGGACACAGCCCACCCGGGAACGCAGUGGGUGACCUACCGACACACGCGACGCAGGUGGAGCGAGGGGCCCAGAGCACCGGCACAGACGCCCUGUGAGCGCCUCUGUGCGAAGUCCACGGUCAGGCAAAGUGAGUCUGGGGAGAGGUGACACGGCCGGAGGGGCUGGAAACCAUCAGCCUGGGUGCCGGGGAGCAGGACACUGGGGACCGGCACGCCCCGCACUCCAGUCACCCCCGGCACCAGAAGACGCCUGCACCCCGGCCGCCCCAUCCUGCCGUCCACGGGGUCGCACGGGUCACGGGAAAAGGAUCCCGGCUCCCUGGCACCUCACAGCACAUGCCCGGCACGGCCGUGGUGGGGCCUGGGUGGUGACUGGGGACCUCAGGGCAGACAUGCAGCUGCUUGGGGCGGGGGGGCGCUCAGACAAGGGAUAUCCAUCGCUGGAGGUGUCUGGAACUUUCUGGAAAACCCGCCGCAGGGUGCAGAACCAGCCUGGCGUGACCCUCCCCCCACCUCUGGAUGAAGACUUGGGCCGAGUACAGCUUUUCUCGCCGUGAAAAGCCCUCCGGGUACUUUAGCUAAGAACAGUUCUCCACUCAGUCCUUGACAGGCUCCAGGUCACGGCAGGGUGGGCCCCGUGCAGAGCGUCCCUCUACAUCAUCUCCAGCAGCCCCCAGCUCGGCCCCAGAGGCAGGUGCCACCAGUGACUCCACUUCAUGGAGGAGAAAACCGAGGCUCGGAGGGGGAGUCCCUGUAGGGGGGAACGGGGGAGCGAGGACCCAAGCCCCCAGGCUCUCUAACAAGGGCUCUCAUCGUGUGCUCUGGGGACCCCGGUGGGACCCCAGGCCUUUCCGGGGGACCUGCCAUCCAGCCUUGCCAGCCACAGAUCCCAGUGCAGCCCAGUUUCUUCAACAGGUUCUUCCAAUACACAGUCGAUUUCUCAUAACGGACCAUGGAGCAGUCAAGACGAAGCCCUGGCCUUCCGGGGAGGGAGCGUGUGACCAGCUCAGAGGGAAGCACACCAGGUCCCUGGUGGGGGGGGGGGGGUCGGGCUGGGGGGGGGGGACAAGCCCCCUGAGAA
Long non-coding RNA from Aethalodelphis obliquidens (Pacific white-sided dolphin), 4208 nucleotides. RefSeq lists it as uncharacterized. The transcript is spliced from 2 exons. The record is from RefSeq and is a predicted model, not a curated record. Lineage: Eukaryota; Metazoa; Chordata; Mammalia; Artiodactyla; Delphinidae.